GAAUGCCUACGGGACGCAGCAGUGGGGAAUAUUGGGCAAUGGGCGCAAGCCUGACCCAGCAACGCCGCGUGAAGGAAGAAGGCUUUCGGGUUGUAAACUUCUUUUAAGAGGGAAGAGCAGAAGACGGUACCUCUUGAAUAAGCCACGGCUAACUACGUGCCAGCAGCCGCGGUAAUACGUAGGUGGCAUGCGUUGUCCGGAUUUACUGGGUGUAAAGGGCGUGUAGCCGGGCUGACAAGUCAGAUGUGAGAUCCGGGGGCUCAACCCCUGAACUGAUUUUGAAAC
Molecule: ribosomal RNA, 285 nt
Filed under: uncultured bacterium
Lineage: Bacteria
Description: partial 16S ribosomal RNA
Rfam family: Bacterial small subunit ribosomal RNA
Source: RNAcentral